RNAcentral lists this ribosomal RNA (253 nucleotides) under uncultured bacterium. RNAcentral describes it as "partial 16S ribosomal RNA". It matches the Rfam family "Bacterial small subunit ribosomal RNA", at positions 524 to 776 of the family's 1533-position model. The record is from RNAcentral.
UACGUAGGGGGCAAGCGUUGUCCGGAAUUAUUGGGCGUAAAGAGCGCGUAGGCGGUCCGAUAAGUCGGCUGUGAAAGUCAGGGGCUCAACCCUUGAAAGCCGGCCGAUACUGUCGGACUAGAGUCCGGAAGAGGCGAGUGGAAUUCCCGGUGUAGCGGUGAAAUGCGCAGAUAUCGGGAGGAACACCCGUGGCGAAGGCGGUUCUCUGGGACGGUACUGACGCUGAGACGCGAAAGCGUGGGGAGCGAACAGG